AAAAGGUGGCUAUGCUACCGCUUUUGGAUGGGCCCGCGGCGCAUUAGCUAGUUGGUGGGGUAAAGGCUUACCAAGGCAAUGAUGCGUAGCCGAACUGAGAGGUUGAUCGGCCACAUUGGGACUGAGACACGGCCCAAACUCCUACGGGAGGCAGCAGUAGGGAAUCUUCCACAAUGGGCGAAAGCCUGAUGGAGCAACGCCGCGUGGGUGAAGAAGGUCUUCGGAUCGUAAAACCCUGUUGUUAGAGAAGAAAGUGCGUGAGAGUAACUGUUCACGUUUCGACGGUAUCUAACCAGAAAGCCACGGCUAACUACGUGCCAGCAGCCGCGGUAAUACGUAGGUGGCAAGCGUUAUCCGGAUUUAUUGGGCGUAAAGGGAACGCAGGCGGUCUUUUAAGUCUGAUGUGAAAGCCUUCGGCUUAACCGGAGUAGUGCAUUGGAAACUGGGAGACUUGAGUGCAGAAGAGGAGAGUGGAACUCCAUGUGUAGCGGUGAAAUGCGUAGAUAUAUGGAAGAACACCAGUGGCGAAAGCGGCUCUCUGGUCUGUAACUGACGCUGAGGUUCGAAAGCGUGGGUAGCAAGCAGGAUUAGAUACCCUGGUAGUCCACGCCGUAAAC
Molecule: ribosomal RNA, 617 nt
Filed under: uncultured bacterium
Lineage: Bacteria
Description: bacterial SSU rRNA
Rfam family: Bacterial small subunit ribosomal RNA
Source: RNAcentral